UAUCAUACAAUUUAUACAUGUAAUUCAAUCAAAGUAACAUACAGGCUUCAUCGAAAUCUUAAGCUUCAUUCCAUAAACAAAACGACCAUAUAUAAGGAGGUUGUUCACAAAAGGAGUACAUAUAUGUUUGCCACAACCAAAAUAAAGUACCGCCACAAGAGGAGAUCAUAUGUUUCUAAAUGUGUGCCACGCAACCAAAAUGAGCUUAACAAGCACCAAAAUGGGCAGAGCAAAUCUCUAGGUUCAACAAACAAGACAUACAACAUUAUCACUCCAUCUUAGUUGUAGAUAUUCCAAAUCUCAAGCAGCUUGAAGAACUUCCAAACCUUAGUGAACUUGUACCUUUGGGAAACCUGCAACAAAUCAGAAGAUGUUACAUACAACAGUUGCAUUCAGCACUUAAGGAAGAAGUUACAACAAUCUCUACCAUUUUUAUUAUCUUAACAAGUAACAAGCUUAUCUUCUCAUCAAAAUUGUACAAAGUCUGUACAAAUAUUAACAGGAAUAUGUUACAACAAUCAUAUACAGCAGCCGCAUGGCCACAUACAACAGCCGAAUAUGUUCUGAAACAUAGAGCAACUAGUAACAUCUCUAGAGUAACCUCUACUUUAGUAGAGAACAUGUCCAUUUUUAUCAUACUGAUAGUAGCAAGUUUAUCUUACUUCUCAUCCAAAUAGUGUGCAAAGUACAAAUAUUAACAGUAAAUAGUACGUGUACCUAUCUUGUACAGCAGAAAGUGGUAUAAUCAUGUUCCAUGCACAAAGUUACUGUACUAGCCAGCAAAAAAAGGAAAACUAAUUUGAAUCGUUAUCAGCUUGAGGAUUGUCACUGCAAGAUGGCAAGAAUUUUGAGAAAACAGUUUGACAGACAUGCAAAUAUCUUAAGAAUAAUAAUAUAAAACUUCACAAUAUGACGGAGGUGUUACCAUCGAAAAAACUUGAAUGCAAGUACGUUAUCAUCAAAUGACACUCCUAAUAAGGCAGAGACACUAAAUAUGUCCAUAAUCAGCUUUAAUUUAAGAAAUUGAAUCAUAUUAACAAAUCUAAGUUUUCAAAAGUGCAGAAGCAGAGGAGCAGUUAUAUAUUAAGUUCUAGGCCAACAAUAGCAAUGAAUAAGCAUGUGGUUCCAAGCUCUGAUUCCUUGCUAGAAGUAAUACAUAAACAUCAUAUGGGAAACUUCUUUGUUACUCAAGCAAAUUUCUUUCUCAAGAUAUACAUUGGAGUCUACAACAUGCAGAGACAGAUAAUGCCUGCCAGACAUCAAUCUCAAAAGAACAUCUUCCAAGAAGGAACUUACAUUACACCUUGUGUCAGAGUUAUUCGAUAUAGCUAUAAGUUUGGUGUUAUUAUCGCCAAAGCAUUAUAAUCCACCGCCAUCUGCAAAAAUAAAACAAUGACAAGUAGCUUGAAUUAUAUUCCUUGGUAGAAUAUAUCAAUAAGUACAUAUUAUUACAUGCUUGUGUAGCAAUGACAAUUUAUUAAGUGGUUGUUGUAGCGUUCUCUUUUAUCAGAUUCAACUAGAGUGUAAUAGAAGAAAUGCAUCACUUAUUUCAAAACCAUUGAGUGAUUAUAUAUACUAACAAUAUAAGGUGUACUACUCGAAGCAGGAUACAGGUUAACUACAAUGUCAAUAUAUAUCAACAGUGAGAGGCUUUUGAGAAGAGCCUAGAUUUAGUUAUGUUUAAAUUCUGGGACAAGAUUGUUUGUAACAAUUUCUAGGCAGAACCACCAUAAGCCCUAGAGCUCCAGCCCUUUCGCAAAGCCUCUAUCACUCCAUAGUAAAUCCAUCAGCGAAGAAAUGUGAGUGCUAAGCAGCAAUGACGGAAAAAAGUCGGAAUUAGUGCUGAUUUCUAACACUAUCUGCAUGUAACAAGUACUGCUACACUACCCAGGUGGCCAAAUUCAGAGCAACAAAGGUCAAUGGGAAAAACCAAGAGCAUGCACUUUACUGAAAUAGUAAGGAGUUUUAACCCACAUUGGAACAAAUAUAACUGAAAUCCUAAUAGAGUCAGAAUAAAUCCUAAACCCGAAGAAUUAACAACCCAAUCCACUGUCACUGCUUGCAUAGCCAUUGUAUCCAAACAGGCCCUACAUUCAGUGCUACCACUUCUGUAUGGUUCUGAGCUUAAAAGUAAGUUCUAGCUAGAGGAAUGUAAUCAACCAAUAGAAAAAUUAAGGCAUGGGAAAUAAGAAAACAUAAUUGAAACAAAUGAUGAAAAUUUCCAAUUCUCAAGAUUUUGUUAGGAGAAGAACUUUGCAUAAGUUUGAAGAUUCUAAACUAUUCAUAUUUGGGCGGUGAUCUUGCUCGCAAUAUUUAUCCUUGACCGAUGGAUCAGAAAUGAAAGCGAAAGUCAGUAACAUGCCCUUCUUUUUUUAAACGAAGCAUGGCCUACAUUUUAAGAAUCUUUCGUAUGACCUCGUAUACCUGAGCCUUUUCUUGUUUUGUUUUCUAAACUGACUCUUAGACCUGAAAUAGGAAAUGACUCUUACACCUGAAAUAGGACCAUAUACUUUUGCUAUUACAACUGAUAGGUACAAACUCAACUAUAUGGCUUCACAAGUUGGAGCGACAAACCUUCACAAAAUGUAUGCAUAACUGAACUAAUGCUCAAGGCAUAAACCAUGUGUGUUGUGGUGUAUAUUGGUUAAUUAAAGGUAAAAGUUCCACUAGGCUAUCAGAAUACUAGAGAAGAUUAUAAAAUAAAAUCACUUGAGAAUUCUUUUACAAAAUGGUUACUUUGCUACAAAAGAUUUAUUUGGUGCAUUGUGACCGUGAGUGUCCUUGUUAAGGAGAGAAAAGACAUACAUGGAAACAAACAAGUGAUAGCAUCUUGAUCCAUACAUACAGGUGAUGAGCUCGAUGAUGAUAGAGGCGUUGUGGUGCUCACUGGUAGCGAGUGUAGAGGAACAGGUGGUGCAGCGCGUGGUUGAACAAUUAGUGGUUGAGCUCGACAGGGCCGACGUGGAGCAGCUCUACCAGCAGCGCGCCAUCUGUCUUCCACAGCAGCAGGUGCUGCACGGCUGCACCCCGAGAAGGUGCAGGCCCGACGAAGAAGAGGGACGCUCGAUAACGAUACAGCUCGCGGUUGACCCUGCUUGAACGCGAUGCCACGAAGAAGAGCACCAUGUGGCGUUGGGAGUGAGGAAGAGGGAGUCCUUGGAGAGGCCGUCGGGGACGAACUCCUCAGGAGACAGGCAGCUACUCUCCCGGUCUCACCCUGUCAGCGGAUCUGGGCGAGGCGGAUAAGAUGACGAUGGGGGAAGUGUUUAUGUGGAGGUGAACAACCGGGGCGGCGUUGAUGAGGACCGGGCUAGAUCCGGCAGCAUCGACCACCGGUGCGGCCAGACCGACAGAUCCAGCAAUGACCAGGCCGGGCCGCUUCCAUGGAAAUGGCAGCUCAGCGGAGGAAGAGAGGUAGGGCGGCGGCGCACAGGGAAGGGGAGAACGGGCCGGCCAGAAGUAGAGUUAGGAAGGGGCGGCGGUGGAGUGGGGGGCGGCGGCGGCGGGUCUGUGAUUUGGGGAAGGGACGGGAGUGGCUGGGUCGAUACAGAGGGAUUUGGGGAAGAGAGGGUUUUUUUAAGCAAAGGGGA
This 3590-nucleotide long non-coding RNA is filed under the name Triticum aestivum (bread wheat). Its description in RNAcentral is "long non-coding RNA (TAES_LNC014307)". The record is from RNAcentral. Lineage: Eukaryota; Viridiplantae; Streptophyta; Magnoliopsida; Poales; Poaceae.